RNAcentral lists this long non-coding RNA (1792 nucleotides) under Canis lupus familiaris (dog). RNAcentral describes it as "lncRNA (ENSCAFG00845008008.1)". The record is from RNAcentral. Lineage: Eukaryota; Metazoa; Chordata; Mammalia; Carnivora; Canidae.
ACCACUGAGGUUAUGAAGAACCAAUCAGAGAUGAAGAACACAAUAAAUUAAAAAUACAUCGAUGGAGGGGAUCCCUGGGUGGCUCAGUGGUUUAGCGCCUGCCUUCGGCCCAGGGAGUGAUCUAGGAGUCCCAGGAUCAAGUCCCACGUCAGGCUCCCUGCACAGAGCCUGCUUCUCCUUCUGCCUGUGUCUCUGCCUCUCUCUCUCUCUCUCUCUCUGUCAUGAAUAAAUAAAUAAAAUCUUUUUAAAAUAAAUACAUUGAUGGAAUAAAUAGGCUAGAUGACACAGAGGAAUGUAUUAAUGACCUGGAAGACAGUAAUGGAAAGUAAUUAGCUGAGCAAAUGAGAGGUGAAUUUUUAUUUUUAAAGAUUUUUAUUUAUUCAUGAGAGAGAGAGAGGCAGAGACACAGGCAAAGGGAGAAGCAGGUUCCAUGCAGGGAGCCUGAUGUGGGACUCCAUCCCAGGUCUCCAGGAUCAGGCCCUGGGCUGAAGGCGGCGCUAAAGCGCUGAGCCACCCGGGCUGCCCAAGAGGGGAAAAUUAUGUAAAUUGAAGAUAGGGAACUCUGACUCCAUCAAGCAUAAUAACAUUUGCAUUAAAGAGAUCCCAGAAGAGAGAAAAAGGGCAAAAAAAAAAUUAUUUUAAAGAAAUAAUAGCUGAAAACUACCUUUUUUGUGGGAGAAGGAAACCGAUCCAGAAGGCACAAGAGCACUCCAAAAUUCAGCCCAAGGACAUCUACACCAAUAUACAUAGUUCUUAAGAUGGAGGAAAGUAGUGACAAAAUAUUUUAAAUGAAUCAAAAAGAAAAUGUAUGAUAUUUAAAAAUUGUAUCUGGAAAAGGAAACUAGAAAAAAAUUCAGAGAAACAGUUGAAAUGCAGAAAUAUAUAUCACUGCAUUCCACAGCAUUAUUUUGGUAGUAUCUUACUGCAGCUGGCUCCUGGCAUUCCCUCAGCCAUCGAUCUGAGGUUGGGUUAUUUUUGGGAUCUUGAUUUCAUGUUCCAUUGGUUUAUAUAGUAGAAAUUCGAUUCUAUUUUGUGAUUUUUCUCACAUGGCAGACUGAAACAAUUUUAAUUUUGCAAUAACUGGCUACUGCACACAGCUUAAUUGAAUUUUCUCAAUGUUAAGGCAAGGGUUCAAAGUAACAUUAAAAGAGAUUUAGUAAUGAUAAAAAUUUUCUUAGUUUUGAGUUCAUCAUUGAUUUUUAAAUUUCUGCAUUUCCAUGUAAUCUUUGAUAUGAUUGUUUUCUAAUUUGUAGCAUUUUUUAAAAAUCAAACUUCUCUGGUAGAAGCUAUGCCAAUUUUUUUAAUAUAUAUAUAUAUAUAUAUUUUUUUUUUUUGCUAUGUGAAAUUUGAAGGACAGCUUCCCAUAUUCUUCCCUCAUCCUCAUGAAAUAAAUAGAAAAAUCUGGGAUUUGGUGGUUUCAUCAAAUAUAUUAAAUACUACUGCAGAAAUGGCAGUUAUAUGUUUUUCUUCUUGAUGACAAUAUACAUCUUUUGAAAAGCAGUAUAUAACAGAAUGUGAAAUGUGUAACUCUGAUCUGGAAAAAAACACUAGGAAUAUAUGAUGAUGAAGUUCAAACAAUGAAAAGAUGAGUACGCAUCAAUAAAGUUACAAUUUUUAAAAUGGAAAUGAUGAGUGUUCACCGAUAAGGAUUUCUUUAAAUUUCAUAUGUUCCCAUAGUAUCAUGGGACUGUUUAAAUAAUGUCAGGGACAUGUAAUAUCAGGAGAACAUAAUACAGGCUUUGUGAAAUCAGACCAUAGCCUUCCUAGUAUAAUAAAAUUCAUAAAUCUCUGU